RNAcentral lists this unclassified non-coding RNA (5399 nucleotides) under Neodiprion pinetum (white pine sawfly). RNAcentral describes it as "serine-rich adhesin for platelets-like, transcript variant X44". The record is from RNAcentral. Lineage: Eukaryota; Metazoa; Arthropoda; Insecta; Hymenoptera; Diprionidae.
UUGCUGGUUCUCUUCUGCUCACUAUGAAGAAAUCUUCCUGCUCGAUUCUCGCCGUGUUGGUGUUGUUCCAGCUCUGCGGUGGAAUUCAUACACGAGUCAUUUCUGAUAUACCUUCACCGGACAAUAACGAGGGUAGCGGUUUCGGAGGUGAUGGAAUUGAAGAGAUCCAAAAUGGAUUCGAAUCGAUCAAUUCUGGGCCGGAAAUUGUUCCGAUAGAGGUCAAUGGAGGAGACCAACAAUAUUUGGAAGGGUUGCCACCUGCUCCAAUCCAAGGAAAUAUGGGUGGUAUUCCAGAGUUCAACAAUGGAUUCGACUUAAUGAAUUUUGAGCCUGAAAAUGUUCCGAUAGAGGUCAAUGGAGAAGACCAACAAUAUUUUGAAGGAUUGCCACCUGCUUCAUUCCCAGAAAACAUGGGUGAUAAUCCAGAGUUCAACAAUGGAUUUGACUCAAUGAAUUUUGAGCCUGAAAAUGUUCCGAUAGACGUCAACGGAGGAGAUCAACAAUAUUUUGAAGGAUUGCCACCUGCUCCAUUCCAAGGAAACAUAGAUUACAUCGUGAGUCAAGGCGAUAAUGAAAACGGGCAAGCAGCCUUCGGAAUUCAGGGUGAAGACGCUGAUGCGGGCAUUCCAGUAGGCAAUGACGAACAGCCAAUUGAUAAUGAUGCCAACGUUGACGUUCAAGAUGAUUCACCGGUCAUUGGAUUUGUAGGACAAAAUACCAUCUUUGACGAACAAGCGCCGCUGAACAAUGCAGGUUUCUCGGAUAACAUGGGUGACCGCUCUGGAGAACAAGCAUCAGCAACCAAUGCAGGUUCCGGUAGUCAAUCUGGUGACAACUCUGGCGAACAAGCACCAGCAAACAAUGCAGGUUCCGGUAGUCAAUCUGGUGAUAACUCUGGUGAACAAGCAUCAGCAAACAAUGCAGGUUCCGGCAGUCAAUCAGGCAGUAGCUCUGGAGAACAAGCAUCAUCAGACAAUGCAGAUUCCGGUAGUCUAUUUGGCAGAGCAUCUGUUGAAUGGAGAAUUAAUUCGACUGCGACAAUUAACGAAGCCGCGACAAACACUGAAGUUGCGACGACGACUGAAGCACAGACAAAUACGGAAGCUGCAACAACUGCUGUAGCUGCAUCAACGACCGAAGCUCAGACAACGACCGAAGCUAGAACAAGUGACGAAGCUGCGUCAACGACCGAAGCUGGAACGGGUGACGAAGCUGCGUCAACGACCGACGCUGGAACAAGUGACGAAGCUGGAACAACUGACGAAACUGCUUCAACGACCGAAGCUGGAACAAGUGACGAAGCUGCGUCAACGACCGAAGCUGGAACAAGUGACGAAGGUGCGUCGACAACCGAAGCUGGAACAAGUGACGAAGCUGGAACAACUGACGAAGCUGCUUCAACGACCGAAGCUGGAACAAGUGACGAAGCUGCUUCAACGACCGGAGCUAGAACGGGUGACGAAGCUGUGUCAACGACCGAAGCUGGAACAAGUGACGAAGCUGCUUCAACGACCGAAGCUGGAACGGGUGACGAAGCUGCAUCAACGACCGAAGCUGGAACGGGUGACGAAGCUGCUUCAACGACCGAAGCUGGAACAAGUGACGAAGGUGCGUCGACAACCGAAGCUGGAACAAGUGACGAAGCUGGAACAACUGACGAAGCUGCUUCAACGACCGAAGCUGGAACGGGUGACGAAGCUGCAUCAACGACCGAAGCUGGAACGAGUGACGAAGCUGCGUCAACGACCGAAGCUGGAACAAGUGACGAAGCUGCGUCAACCACCGAAGCUGGAACAAGUGACGAAGGUGCGUUGACAACCGAAGCUGGAACAAGUGACGAAGCUGGAACAACUGACGAAGCUGUUUCAACGACCGAAGCUGGAACGGGUGACGAAGCUGCAUCAACGACCGAAGCUGGAACGGGUGACGAAGCUGCAUCAACGACCGAAGCUGGAACGGGUGACGAAGCUACUUCAACGACCGAAGCUGGAACAAGUGACGAAGGUGCGUCGACAACCGAAGCUGGAACAAGUGACGAAGCUGGAACAACUGACGAAGCUGCUUCAACGACCGAAGCUGGAACGGGUGACGAAGCUGCAUCAACGACCGAAGCUGGAACGGGUGACGAAGCUGCUUCAACGACCGAAGCUGGAACAAGUGACGAAGGUGCAUCGACAACCGAAGCUGGAACAAGUGACGAAGCUGGAACAACUGACGAAGCUGCUUCAACGACCGAAGCUGGAACAAGUGACGAAGCUGCGUCAACCACCGAAGCUGGAACAAGUGACGAAGGUGCGUCGACAACCGAAGCUGGAACAAGUGACGAAGCUGGAACAACUGACGAAGCUGCUUCAACGACCGAAGCUGGAACGGGUGACGAAGCUGCAUCAACGACCGAAGCUGGAACAAGUGACGAAGCUGCUUCAACGAUCGAAGCUGGAACGGGUGACGAAGCUGCGUCAACGACCGAAGCUGGCACAAGUGACGAAGCUGCUUCAACGACCGAAGCUGGAACAAGUGACGAAGCUGCGUCAAAGACCGAAGCUGGAACAAGUGACGAAGGUGCGUCGACAACCGAAGCUGGAACAAGUGACGAAGCUGGAACAACUGACGAAGCUGCUUCAACGACUGAAGCUGGAACGGGUGACGAAGCUGCGUCAACGACCGAAGCUGGAACAAGUGACGAAGGUGCGUCGACAACCGAAGCUGGAACAAGUGACGAAGCUGCUUCAACGACCGAAGCUGGAACAAGUGACGAAGGUGCGUCGACAACCGAAGCUGGAACAAGUGACGAAGGUGCGUCGACAACCGAAGCUGGAACAAGUGACGAAGGUGCGUCGACAACCGAAGCUGGAACAAGUGACGAAGGUGCGUCGACAACCGAAGCUGGAACAAGUGACGAAGGUGCGUCGACAACCGAAGCUGGAACAAGUGACGAAGCUGGAACAACUGACGAAGCUGCUUCAACGACCGAAGCUGGAACGGGUGACGAAGCUGCGUCAACGACCGAAGCUGGAACAAGUGACGAAGCUGCUUCAACGAUCGAAGCUGGAACGGGUGACGAAGCUGCGUCAACGACCGAAGCUGGAACAAGUGACGAAGCUGCGUCAACCACCGAAGCUGGAACAAGUGACGAAGGUGCGUCGACAACCGAAGCUGGAACAAGUGACGAAGCUGGAACAACUGACGAAGCUGCUUCAACGACUGAAGCUGGAACGGGUGACGAAGCUGCGUCAACGACCGAAGCUGGAACAAGUGACGAAGGUGCGUCGACAACCGAAGCUGGAACAAGUGACGAAGCUGCUUCAACGAUCGAAGCUGGAACAAGUGACGAAGGUGCGUCGACAACCGAAGCUGGAACAAGUGACGAAGGUGCGUCGACAACCGAAGCUGGAACAAGUGACGAAGCUGCUUUAACGACUGAAGCUGGAACAAGUGACGAAGGUGCGUCGACAACCGAAGCUGGAACAAGUGACGAAGGUGCGUCGACAACCGAAGCUGGAACAAGUGACGAAGGUGCGUCGACAACCGAAGCUGGAACAAGUGACGAAGCUGGAACAACUGACGAAGCUGCUUUAACGACUGAAGCUGGAACGGGUGACGAAGCUGCGUCAACGACCGAAGCUGGAACAAGUGACGAAGCUGCUUCAACGACCGAAGCUGGAACAAGUGACGAAGGUGCGUCGACAACCGAAGCUGGAACAAGUGACGAAGCUGCGUCAACGACCGAAGCUGGAACAAGUGACGAAGCUGGAACAACUGACGAAGCUGCUUCAACGACCGAAGCUGGAACGGGUGACGAAGCUGCGUCAACGACCGAAGCUGGAACAACUGACGAAGCUGCUUCAACGACCGAAGCUGGAACGGGUGACGAAGCUGCGUCAACGACCGAAGCUGGAACGAGUGACGAAGCUGCUUCAACGACCGAAGCUGGAACGAGUGACGAUGCUGCUUCAACGACCGAAGCUGGAACAAGUGACGAAGGUGCGUCGACAACCGAAGCUGGAACAAGUGACGAAGGUGCGUCGACAACCGAAGCUGGAACAAGUGACGAAGCUGCUUCAACGACUGAAGCUGGAACAAGUGACGAAGGUGCGUCGACAACCGAAGCUGGAACAAGUGACGAAGCUGGAACAACUGACGAAGCUGCUUCAACGACUGAAGCUGGAACGGGUGACGAAGCUGCGUCAACGACUGAAGCUGGAACAAGUGACGAAGCUGCUUCAACGACUGAAGCUGGAACAAGUGACGAAGGUGCGUCGACAACCGAAGCUGGAACAAGUGACGAAGCUGGAACAACUGACGAAGCUGCUUCAACGACUGAAGCUGGAACGGGUGACGAAGCUGCGUCAACGACCGAAGCUGGAACAAGUGACGAAGCUGCUUUAACGACCGAAGCUGGAACAAGUGACGAAGGUGCGUCGACAACCGAAGCUGGAACAAGUGACGAAGCUGCGUCAACGACCGAAGCUGAAACGGGUGACGAAGCUGCAUCAACGACCGAAGCUGGAACAAGUGACGAAGCUGGAACAACUGACGAAGCUGCUUCAACGACCGAAGCUGGAACGGGUGACGAAGCUGCGUCAACGACCGAAGCUGGAACAAGUGACGAAGCUGCUUCAACGACCGAAGCUGGAACGGGUGACGAAGCUGCGUCAACGACCGAAGCUGGAACAAGUGACGAAGCUGCAUCAACGACCGAAGCUGGAACAAGUGACGAAGCUGGAACAACUGACGAAGCUGCUUCAACGACCGAAGCUGAAACGGGUGACGAAGCUGCAUCAACGACCGAAGCUGGAACAAGUGACGAAGCUGGAACAACUGACGAAGCUGCUUCAACGACCGAAGCUGGAACGGGUGACGAAGCUGCGUCAACGACCGAAGCUGGAACAAGUGACGAAGCUGCUUCAACGACCGAAGCUGGAACGGGUGACGAAGCUGCGUCAACGACCGAAGCUGGAACAAGUGACGAAGCUGCAUCAACGACCGAAGCUGGAACGGGUGACGAAGCUGCGUCAACGACCGAAGCUGGAACGAGUGACGAUGCUGCUUCAACGACCGAAGCUGGAACGAGUGACGAAGCUGCGUCAACGACCGAAGCUGGAACGAGUGACGAAGCUGCUUCAACGACCGAAGCUGGAACGAGUGACGAAGCUGCGUCAACGACCGAAGCUGGAACAAUGACGAAGCUGCUUCAACGACCGGAGCUGGAACAACUGAUGUAGCUGCGUCAACAACCGAAGAUCAGACAACGACCGAAGCUCAGACAACCACCGAAGCUGCAACAACCACAGCACAGACAACGACUGAAGUUCAAACAACAACCGAAGCUCAGACAACUACUUCUGCUCCUACCACAACGGAAACUCCUACCACAGUCGUCACUACUCUUUCUGAUG